AUACGGAGGGAGCAAGCGUUAUUCGGAAUCACUGGGCGUAAAGGACGCGUAGGCGGGUUUGUAAGUCAGGUGUGAAAUCCUACAGCUCAACUGUAGAACUGCACUUGAAACUACAGACCUAGAGUAUGGAAGGGGCAGAUGGAAUUAGUGGUGUAGGGGUAAAAUCCGUAGAUAUCACUAGGAAUACCGAAAGCGAAGGCGAUCUGCUGGGACAUACUGACGCUGAGGCGUGAAAGCGUGGGGAGCAAACAGGAUUAGAAACCCCAGUAGUCC
This 273-nucleotide ribosomal RNA is filed under the name uncultured bacterium. Its description in RNAcentral is "partial 16S ribosomal RNA". It matches the Rfam family "Bacterial small subunit ribosomal RNA", at positions 523 to 796 of the family's 1533-position model. The record is from RNAcentral.